RNAcentral lists this transfer RNA (64 nucleotides) under Maladera orientalis. RNAcentral's name for it is "tRNA-Tyr". It matches the Rfam family "tRNA". Rfam says of the family: Transfer RNA (tRNA) molecules are approximately 80 nucleotides in length. Their secondary structure includes four short double-helical elements and three loops (D, anti-codon, and T loops). Further hydrogen bonds mediate the characteristic L-shaped molecular structure. tRNAs have two regions of fundamental functional importance: the anti-codon, which is responsible for specific mRNA codon recognition, and the 3' end, to which the tRNAs corresponding amino acid is attached (by aminoacyl-tRNA synthetases). tRNAs cope with the degeneracy of the genetic code in two manners: having more than one tRNA (with a specific anti-codon) for a particular amino acid; and 'wobble' base-pairing, i.e. permitting non-standard base-pairing at the 3rd anti-codon position. The record is from RNAcentral. Lineage: Eukaryota; Metazoa; Arthropoda; Insecta; Coleoptera; Scarabaeidae.
GAUAAAGUGGCUGAGGAUUAAGCGAUAAAUUGUAAAUUUAUUAACGAAAUUAUUUUCCUUUAUC